This 87-nucleotide unclassified non-coding RNA is filed under the name Pseudomonas palleroniana. The record is from RNAcentral. Lineage: Bacteria; Pseudomonadati; Pseudomonadota; Gammaproteobacteria; Pseudomonadales; Pseudomonadaceae.
GUGGGAGGGGGCUUGCUCCCGAUAGCGGUGGUUCAGCUAAGGAAUUCUUGGCUGACACACUGCAAUCGGGAGCAAGCCCCCUCCCAC